Long non-coding RNA from Gossypium arboreum, 839 nucleotides. RefSeq lists it as uncharacterized. The transcript is spliced from 2 exons. Lineage: Eukaryota; Viridiplantae; Streptophyta; Magnoliopsida; Malvales; Malvaceae. The record is from RefSeq and is a predicted model, not a curated record.
AAUUGAGUCAUUACGCAAAUAGGGAGGACCAGACGCAUAAUUACCCCUCAAAGACCCAGUGCGCGGGUUUCAACCUAGCGCGGGUCGGGUCAUCGGGUAUUGGGCUGCCAAAUGGUGUUGUUUUGAGGCCAUCGACAUUGGCCAAAACGGCAUCACCUAAUCCCCCCUUUUAAUAGCCUAAACUAACCCUAAUGAAACAAUUAGCCGCUCACACAAAGAAAAAAAAAGAAGAAAAAAACCCAAAGUUCCCUCCUUUUAAUAUUCGGCCAACCGUUGGUCUCCCAAUUGACUGUUCCUCUGCCUCUUCUUUCGACCCAUAGAGUGGUCAAUCGAGGUUUCAUUGAACCAAGAAGAACUGAGGGUCUUGCUUACAAAUCCCAAAUCACCACUUAAUUUCGAUUGUGGCGAAACAAGCGGGGAUUCGAAGGCUUUGAAAUGCAGGUACGGGUGCGCGUUCGUGUACGGGGGUCAUGCUGGCGCUUGGCGUGAGGGGUACGGAGGCGUGCUGGCGUUUGGCGUGAGGAGUACGGAGGCGAAAGCGUAGGGAGGUUGCUAUUGCGGCGUAGGAGAAAGAAAGGAUCCCUAGGGUUUCUAAAAUUUCUGGGCCAUUUGGGCUCAUUUCAGGUAUUGGGUCAGUCUUUGGGCCGUGGGGUUUUAGUUAUUGGGUCUAGGGUAUGUAUUGGGUUUGUGACUUGGGUCUUGGGUUUUAAUUUGGCUGUUUAACAUUGUAAAUAGACUUAAAAUUUGGUUAUUUGGAUUUUAUUUGUUUUAUUCUUGUGGUCUGGGCCCGGGCAUAAUUUGGGCCUUACAGCAGAUAAGUGAAUCACCCUUAAUUCCAA